This 90-nucleotide transfer RNA is filed under the name Promicromonospora citrea. RNAcentral describes it as "tRNA-Tyr". Lineage: Bacteria; Bacillati; Actinomycetota; Actinomycetes; Micrococcales; Promicromonosporaceae. The record is from RNAcentral.
GACGCUCCUCGGUCGCGGCGAGCGCGGCGUCGUAGGCGACGCCGCCGAGCAGGAGACGGCGCGGCGGGUCGUCGGAGUCGACGAGCGUCA